RNAcentral lists this transfer RNA (77 nucleotides) under Candidatus Aminicenantota bacterium. RNAcentral describes it as "Candidatus Aminicenantes bacterium tRNA-Trp". It matches the Rfam family "tRNA". Rfam says of the family: Transfer RNA (tRNA) molecules are approximately 80 nucleotides in length. Their secondary structure includes four short double-helical elements and three loops (D, anti-codon, and T loops). Lineage: Bacteria; Candidatus Aminicenantota. The record is from RNAcentral.
AGGUGAGUAGCUCAACUGGCCAGAGCAGCGGUCUCCAAAACCGCAGGUUGGGGGUUCGAGUCCCUCCUCACCUGCCA